Molecule: ribosomal RNA, 292 nt
Filed under: uncultured bacterium
Lineage: Bacteria
Description: partial 16S ribosomal RNA
Rfam family: Bacterial small subunit ribosomal RNA
Source: RNAcentral
GUGCCUAACACAUGCAAGUCGAACGAGAAAGUGGAGCAAUCCAUGAGUAAAGUGGCGACCGGGUGAGUAACACGUGACUAACCUACCCUCGAGUGGGGAAUAACUCCGGGAAACCGGAGCUAAUACCGCAUAACAUCUUCGGAGCGCAAGCUCUGUUGAUCAAAGGAGCAAUUCGCUUGAGGAGGGAGUCGCGGCUGAUUAGCUAGUUGGCGGGGUAAUGGCCCACCAAGGCUUAGAUCGGUAGCCGGCCUGAGAGGGCGCACGGCCACACUGGAACUGAAACACGGUCCAG